GAAGCAUAUCACCUAGAGCAGACUGAAUGGAAAGUUUCCUCACUACGAUAAAUAAUAGCACUGGACUGUGUAGGGUCAGGAAACAGGGGGCCGGGGGGACAAUGGGGACACAGGCAGAGAAUUAAAUUGGGAGGAUCUACUAGGAGACCCUGAUAAUUGAUUACCCUUUGCUAGGCAGCAACAGAGAUUGCCUGGAGCUUCUAGAAUGCUCUGAAGCCCCUGGGCAGUUUUCCAAAUGGUUCAUAACUGUUGGUCAGUAACUGUUUUUAACUACUGUUCAAAACUGUCCAAGCUUUCCCCACAGCUGGGCCUGGGUAAUUUGUGGCCUUAUGGCUACUUUGUGCAAAUUCUUCUGAAUGUUUGUAGCAGCCAGAGUAAUUAACACUCAUGUUGAGGACGGUGGUCUUUUCAGACUUGGCCCCACUCUCCCAACAGCAGAAGCCUGUGCCAACAGGCCAAAUACUCCGUCUUCCCCAGACAAGGUUGGGUUGCCCCUCUGUAGGAAAUGGACCCCCCUGGAUUCUAAAGAGAACAGUCCAAUGUGUCCACUAAAAAAACUGAAUGUGAGGGAUGCACACAAUUGGCUCUACUGAACACAGGAAGUCUCUCCCAAAUGGCCGAGUCUGCUGUUUUCCCAAGGCAAAGGUCGACUUGCACCUUUAUGGGAGAAAGCCCCCCCCCCCAUAUAGAAAUGCACAUUCCAACCCAAAUGACCUAAAAAGAAUAUGUUCCCUGUACAAAAUUGUCUCCCCUUCCCAGAAGAAGUCUGUGCCAACAGGUCAAGGCAGUCCUCAUCCUAAAUUGAAGUCUAGAUGCCCCUUUUAAAGAGAAAUACCCUACAAAUUCACCAGCCCACACACUAACCCAACUGACAUCCAAAGCUGAAUAUAUACCCUUAACAGAGUAGACUCUCCUGUGCAACUGCAGCCUCUGCCAAUGGGCCAAGGCGGUCCUCUUCCCCAGUCAAGGUUGGAUUGCACCUUUAUGGGAGAAAGACCCCACAAAUUCAUCAACACACAUUCCAACCCAACUGACCCAAAAAUGUGUACCCUGCACAGAACUGUCUCCACUACCCAGCAGAAGCUUUUGCCAACUGGCCAAGGCUGCCAUCUUCCCCAGUCGAGAUAGAGUUACUCCUUUGUGGGAGAAAGACCCCUUAAAUACACUGCAUCACAAUCCAACCCAGCUGACCCAAAAAAAAUAUGUGCCCUGCACAGAACUGUCUCUCCUGCCCAGAAGAAGCUUCUGCCAAUGGGCCAAGGCAGUCCUCAUCCUCAGUCGAGGCCAAGUUGCCCCUUAAGAUAAAGGCCUCCAAAUACAUCAACCCCCUCAGCCCCAAGGCUGAACGUGUGCCCAGCACAGACUUAGUCCCACUGCCUGGCAGAAACCUCUGCCAAUGGGACAAGGAGCUCCUCUGCCCUAGUCGACAUCAUUGCAUUGAGCCAUCUUUGGAAAAAGACCUUCCAAACACACCGACCUACCUCCCCCUCCAGGCUGAAUGUGUGCCCUCUGCAGACUUGGCUCUAUCACCUGAUAGAAGCCUCCACCAAGGCGCCAAACCAGGGAAUAGAUGUCCCACAUAACCCUCCCAUAAAGCCAGUAGCCAGGCUGGUCUGGGAAGUCCCUACCCCUAGAAGAGGCUGGUCUCUACACUGACUGACCAACCCUGCCAUGAGGGGAUAAACAGGCAGCCACCCCACCCCUGUCAGCCUAUCUCUGCAGUAUCUGCCUGCCAUAGGCUUUAGGGACUCCAGCAAAAGGCCCCAAGAAGAAGAGGCUCAGCCACCCUUACAAAGAAAAAUUGGCAACACUAGUCUACCCUGUUCACCAGAUGGAUGAAGAUAUGUAAAUUGAGAAUCAAGAACUGCCCAUCUUGGUCCUCAGAUCUCUGGCUCACUGGAUGCCCUAAACAGGAAAGUUGUGUCUGUCCUGUUUGGACAGUGUCUUAAAAAUUAAAAAUUGAAUAAAAUUUUAAA
Sarcophilus harrisii (Tasmanian devil) is the source of this 1976-nucleotide long non-coding RNA. The record is from Ensembl. Lineage: Eukaryota; Metazoa; Chordata; Mammalia; Dasyuromorphia; Dasyuridae.